CGUUGUUGGGUAGGGGAGCGUUCUGUAAGCCUGCGAAGGUGGCCUGUGAGGGUUGCUGGAGGUAUCAGAAGUGCGAAUGCUGACAUAAGUAACGAUAAAGCGGGUGAAAAGCCCGCUCGCCGGAAGACCAAGGGUUCCUGUCCAACGUUAAUCGGGGCAGGGUGAGUCGACCCCUAAGGCGAGGCCGAAAGGCGUAGUCGAUGGGAAACGGGUUAAUAUUCCCGUACUUGGUGUUACUGCGAAGGGGGGACGGAGAAGGCUAUGUUGGCCGGGCGACGGUUGUCCCGGUUUAAGCGUGUAGGCUGGUUUUCCAGGCAAAUCCGGAAAAUCAAGGCUGAGGCGUGAUGACGAGGCACUACGGUGCUGAAGCAACAAAUGCCCUGCUUCCAGGAAAAGCCUCUAAGCAUCAGGUAACAUCAAAUCGUACCCCAAACCGACACAGGUGGUCAGGUAGAGAAUACCAAGGCGCUUGAGAGAACUCGGGUGAAGGAACUAGGCAAAAUGGUGCCGUAACUUCGGGAGAAGGCACGCUGACACGUAGGUGAAGUGAUUUACUCAUGGAGCUGAAGUCAGUCGAAGAUACCAGCUGGCUGCAACUGUUUAUUAAAAACACAGCACUGUGCAAACACGAAAGUGGACGUAUACGGUGUGACGCCUGCCCGGUGCCGGAAGGUUAAUUGAUGGGGUCAGCGCAAGCGAAGCUCCUGAUCGAAGCCCCGGUAAACGGCGGCCGUAACUAUAACGGUCCUAAGGUAGCGAAAUUCCUUGUCGGGUAAGUUCCGACCUGCACGAAUGGCGUAAUGAUGGCCAGGCUGUCUCCACCCGAGACUCAGUGAAAUUGAACUCGCUGUGAAGAUGCAGUGUACCCGCGGCAAGACGGAAAGACCCCGUGAACCUUUACUAUAGCUUGACACUGAACAUUGAGCCUUGAUGUGUAGGAUAGGUGGGAGGCUUUGAAGUGUGGACGCCAGUCUGCAUGGAGCCGACCUUGAAAUACCACCCUUUAAUGUUUGAUGUUCUAACGUGGACCCGUUACCCGGGUUGCGGACAGUGUCUGGUGGGUAGUUUGACUGGGGCGGUCUCCUCCUAAAGAGUAACGGAGGAGCACGAAGGUUGGCUAAUCCUGGUCGGACAUCAGGAGGUUAGUGCAAUGGCAUAAGCCAGCUUGACUGCGAGCGUGACGGCGCGAGCAGGUGCGAAAGCAGGUCAUAGUGAUCCGGUGGUUCUGAAUGGAAGGGCCAUCGCUCAACGGAUAAAAGGUACUCCGGGGAUAACAGGCUGAUACCGCCCAAGAGUUCAUAUCGACGGCGGUGUUUGGCACCUCGAUGUCGGCUCAUCACAUCCUGGGGCUGAAGUAGGUCCCAAGGGUAUGGCUGUUCGCCAUUUAAAGUGGUACGCGAGCUGGGUUUAGAACGUCGUGAGACAGUUCGGUCCCUAUCUGCCGUGGGCGCUGGAGAACUGAGGGGGGCUGCUCCUAGUACGAGAGGACCGGAGUGGACGCAUCACUGGUGUUCGGGUUGUCAUGCCAAUGGCACUGCCCGGUAGCUAAAUGCGGAAGAGAUAAGUGCUGAAAGCAUCUAAGCACGAAACUUGCCCCGA
This 1599-nucleotide ribosomal RNA is filed under the name Salmonella enterica subsp. enterica serovar Enteritidis. RNAcentral describes it as "partial 23S ribosomal RNA". It matches the Rfam family "Bacterial large subunit ribosomal RNA", at positions 1219 to 2802 of the family's 2925-position model. The record is from RNAcentral. Lineage: Bacteria; Pseudomonadati; Pseudomonadota; Gammaproteobacteria; Enterobacterales; Enterobacteriaceae.